GACGAACGCUGGCGGCGUGCUUAACACAUGCAAGUCGAGCGGUAAGGCCCUUUCGGGGGUACACGAGCGGCGAACGGGUGAGUAACACGUAGGUAAUCUACCUUUGGGUGGGGAAUAACAGCCGGAAACGGCUGCUAAUACCGCAUAAUGCAGCGGCUCGACAUCGAGACAGUUGUUAAAGCGGGGGAUCGCAAGACCUCGCGCCUAAAGAGGAGCCUGCGGCGGAUUAGCUUGNGGUGAGGUAAUGGCUCACCAAGGCAUCGAUCCGUAGCCGGCCUGAGAGGGCGGUCGGCCACACUGACACUGACAUACGGGUCAGACUCCUACGGGAGGCAGCAGUCGGGAAUUUUGGG
Molecule: ribosomal RNA, 353 nt
Filed under: uncultured bacterium
Lineage: Bacteria
Description: bacterial SSU rRNA
Rfam family: Bacterial small subunit ribosomal RNA
Source: RNAcentral